This 447-nucleotide ribosomal RNA is filed under the name uncultured bacterium. Its description in RNAcentral is "bacterial SSU rRNA". It matches the Rfam family "Bacterial small subunit ribosomal RNA", at positions 355 to 825 of the family's 1533-position model. The record is from RNAcentral.
UGGGGAAUAUUGGACAAUGGGCGAAAGCCUGAUCCAGCCAUGCCGCGUGAGUGAUGAAGGCCUUAGGGUUGUAAAACUCUUUCGCCGGGGAAGAUAAUGACGGUACCCGGAGAAGAAGCUCCGGCUAACUUCGUGCCAGCAGCCGCGGUAAUACGAAGGGAGCUAGCGUUGUUCGGAAUUACUGGGCGUAAAGCGCACGUAGGCGGGCUAUUAAGUCAGGGGUGAAAUCCCGAGGCUCAACCUCGGAACUGCCUUUGAUACUGAUAGUCUUGAGAUCGGGAGAGGUGAGUGGAAUUCCUAGUGUAGAGGUGAAAUGCUUAGAUAUCGUCAAGAACACCGAUAGCGAAGGCAGCUUACUAGGCCAUAACUGACGCUGAGGCACGAAGGUGCGGGGAUCAAACAGGAUUAGAUACCCGGGUAGUCCCUGAGCGGGCUGGCAAGGCGCAU